This 485-nucleotide ribosomal RNA is filed under the name uncultured Bacillota bacterium. Its description in RNAcentral is "bacterial SSU rRNA". It matches the Rfam family "Bacterial small subunit ribosomal RNA", at positions 347 to 823 of the family's 1533-position model. Lineage: Bacteria; Bacillati; Bacillota. The record is from RNAcentral.
GGCAGCAGUGGGGAAUCUUCCGCAAUGGACGAAAGUCUGACGGAGCAACGCCGCGUGAGUGAAGAAGGUUUUCGGAUCGUAAAGCUCUGUUUUUAGGGACGAAUGGUCUUUAUGCAAAUAAUGUAGAGACAUGACGGUACCUAAAGAGGAAGCCACGGCUAACUACGUGCCAGCAGCCGCGGUAAUACGUAGGUGGCAAGCGUUGUCCGGAAUUAUUGGGCGUAAAGGGCGUGUAGGCGGGAUAGCAAGUCUGUUGUAAAAGUGCGGAGCUCAACUCCGUAAGGUCAAUGGAAACUGUUACUCUUGAGUGCAGGAGAGGAAAGUGGUAUUCCCAGUGUAGCGGUGAAAUGCGUAGAUAUUGGGAGGAACACCAGUGGCGAAGGCGACUUUCUGGACUGUGUCUGACGCUGAGGCGCGAAAGCCAGGGUAGCGAACGGGAUUAGAUACCCCGGUAGUCCUGGCCGUAAACGAUGAGUACUAGGUGU